This 483-nucleotide ribosomal RNA is filed under the name uncultured bacterium. RNAcentral's name for it is "partial 16S ribosomal RNA". It matches the Rfam family "Bacterial small subunit ribosomal RNA", at positions 30 to 506 of the family's 1533-position model. The record is from RNAcentral.
AUUGAACGCUGGCGGCAGGCCUAACACAUGCAAGUCGAGCGGAUGAAGGGAGCUUGCUCCUGGAUUCAGCGGCGGACGGGUGAGUAAUGCCUAGGAAUCUGCCUGGUAGUGGGGGAUAACGUCCGGAAACGGGCGCUAAUACCGCAUACGUCCUGAGGGAGAAAGUGGGGGAUCUUCGGACCUCACGCUAUCAGAUGAGCCUAGGUCGGAUUAGCUAGUUGGUGGGGUAAAGGCCUACCAAGGCGACGAUCCGUAACUGGUCUGAGAGGAUGAUCAGUCACACUGGAACUGAGACACGGUCCAGACUCCUACGGGAGGCAGCAGUGGGGAAUAUUGGACAAUGGGCGAAAGCCUGAUCCAGCCAUGCCGCGUGGGUGAAGAAGGUCUUCGGAUUGCAAAGCACUUUAAGUUGGGAGGAAGGGCAGUAAGUUAAUACCUUGCUGUUUUGACGUUACCAACAGAAUAAGCACCGGCUAACUUCGU